Non-coding RNA from Elaeis guineensis (African oil palm), 222 nucleotides. NCBI's taxonomy places the organism in Eukaryota, Viridiplantae, Streptophyta, Magnoliopsida, Arecales, Arecaceae. The record is from RefSeq and is a predicted model, not a curated record.
UGGAGUGCAAUCAGCUAGGUCAGCCAAUUAAGAAAGCUGUCUGCUUAUUGACUUCAUUUUUGGGGACUGUUGCUCAGAGGUCUCAGCUAUGUCCGUUGGGCUAUGCAAAAUGGAAUGAUAUGCUUCCAACGUACAAAGUUGAGCUCCUCCGAGUUAUAGAGAGCAAGUUUGUUCUCCCUCCAUCCACUCAUGAUUUUGUAAUGAAGUCUCUCAACCGCAAAU